CAUUAAAAAUUUCAUUCAUUUUUACUAUUAAAAACUAAUAUGACUGGUAGAAUAACUAAACAGUGACACGUGGCAUAUCACAUGUAUCUCAUGCUGACGUAUAGAGACCAUUUUUUAAUAGCAGAAGUGGAUUAAAUUUUUAACA
Molecule: non-coding RNA, 145 nt
Organism: Gossypium hirsutum (cotton)
Lineage: Eukaryota; Viridiplantae; Streptophyta; Magnoliopsida; Malvales; Malvaceae
Source: Rfam